Long non-coding RNA from Phyllostomus hastatus (greater spear-nosed bat), 433 nucleotides. RefSeq lists it as uncharacterized. The record is from RefSeq and is a predicted model, not a curated record. The transcript is spliced from 3 exons. NCBI's taxonomy places the organism in Eukaryota, Metazoa, Chordata, Mammalia, Chiroptera, Phyllostomidae.
ACAGAAAACGAGGCCGCGCCUGGAGGAAGUCGGACUGCGCCCGCCUAGGAAGCACGCCGCAAGGCACCACCAGAAAGCCCACCCACCCCGUCACCACGGUUGAAGAGUUGCAUCGAAACUGUGUGCAGACGCAUCACCACUCUGAAACUGUGGUCACUACUGAUACAUUACUCUGAGAAGAGAGCCGGAAGGUUUUCCAGAUCGCCAAGGCGCCCACGGCCCACGAACGUCAGCCAGCGCCUGCCCCGCUCGUCCGUGCUGCGGCGCCCCCGUCUCUGCGCCCGUGACUCGCAGCUGCACCCAGGUCCUUCCCUUUCUCUGUUCGAAUUGCUUCAGCGUCGAGCCGUGCUUCUCGGGAGCGUAACUCUGACCGCGGCAGAGAAGCCCGGCCCUCUCUGAGAGCACAGGUGAAGCGACGGGGCGGAUCCACCCU